GAUGAAGAACUUAGCGAAAUGCGAUACUUGGUGUGAAUUGCAGAAUCCCGUGAACCAUCGAGUCUUUGAACGCAAGUUGCGCCCGAAGCCAUUAGGCCGAGGGCACGCCUGCCUGGGCGUCACACGUCGUUGCCCCCCCCAUCUACUCCUUCGGGAUUGCGGGGGGCGGAUGAUGGCCUCCCGUGCGCCUCGCCGCGCGGUUGGCAUAAAUGCCAAGUCCUCGGCGACGCACGCCACGACAAUCGGUGGUUGCGAAACCUCGGUUGCCCGUCGUGUGCGGUCGUCGCGCAUCGAGGGCUCGAAAAAAUUGCCGAGUUCCGGCUCGGCUUUCAACGCGACCCCAGGUCAGGCGGGGUUACCCGCUGAAUUUAAGCAUAUCAAUAAGCGGAGGA
Molecule: unclassified non-coding RNA, 392 nt
Filed under: soil metagenome
Description: partial contains 5.8S ribosomal RNA, internal transcribed spacer 2, and large subunit ribosomal RNA
Rfam family: 5.8S ribosomal RNA (bases 1-122)
Source: RNAcentral